RNAcentral lists this long non-coding RNA (413 nucleotides) under Panax ginseng (ginseng). RNAcentral describes it as "long non-coding RNA (PGIN_LNC005697)". Lineage: Eukaryota; Viridiplantae; Streptophyta; Magnoliopsida; Apiales; Araliaceae. The record is from RNAcentral.
GGUUGCGUGGAUCGUGAGCUCUCUCCCCUUUGGCGUUUGGAUGUCGGUUGAGAAGCCAUUGAUUUUCGGAUGUUAGAACUUGUUAUCGCACACUUCUUUCCCCUUACACUUGGUUCACUUAAUUUCUCAAACACUUGGUGUGCAUAGUCCGUUCUUCCCCCAAAACUAGGUUGUUUCUAUGGUAAUUCAGUUGAGAGAAGAUGAAAACCCAAUAGAAAUGUAACUAACACUCAAUUGCUCUAUGUGUUCCCUAAUUUCUUGAUGAAUAUGGGAGCUAUGUGGUAGGGUUUAUAUAGAGGUGAUGUAGGGGAGAAGUAGUGGCCCAAACUUGUUGAUGUGAUUAGUGGAUAUAUGUUUGGUAAUGGGGUGAGAGGUGAUAAGUGAAUUUUAUAUACACUUAUCCGGUAUCUUUU